AUUUAUAUAGUUUAAAUAAAACCUUACAUUUUCACUGUAAAAAUAAAAAUUUUUUUUUAUAAAUA
RNAcentral lists this transfer RNA (65 nucleotides) under Chloronia mirifica. RNAcentral's name for it is "tRNA-Glu". The record is from RNAcentral. Lineage: Eukaryota; Metazoa; Arthropoda; Insecta; Megaloptera; Corydalidae.